Molecule: long non-coding RNA, 447 nt
Filed under: Fukomys damarensis (Damara mole-rat)
Lineage: Eukaryota; Metazoa; Chordata; Mammalia; Rodentia; Bathyergidae
Description: lncRNA (ENSFDAG00000026717.1)
Source: RNAcentral
CUCACACUUCUUGGUUCCCUUUUGCUCCAGCAGUUCUACGCAUCUGGCUGUGGAGGAGUAACUGAACAGCAUCUACUCUCAUUUGUACCAUGAUCUAUGCUUCCAUGAAAGACUGCUCUGCUAUUACCAUAGGUAAAACUUCAUGACCCCCAAGGAUCAGGAAAACAACAGAUCAACAUUCCCCUUAUCCAUCCCUUGGGCAGAAGGCUCUGAGUCACACAAAUAUGAAACAAAGCACAAUCCAGCUCCGUAUGAAGAGAGAGAACGCUAGCACUCCUUGAGGUGACUUCUGGAAUGGAGAACAGGAAGUGGUGGCGAACCCACGACACACACUGCAGCAGGCACAGAGAGCCCUCCCUCCUCGUUGGCUGCAAGCCAAGUAGCCUGAGCCAAGGAGCCAAGGCCUGACACAUUAUCAGCACACAUACAACAGCAAAGAUCACGUUA